This 484-nucleotide ribosomal RNA is filed under the name uncultured bacterium. RNAcentral's name for it is "partial 16S ribosomal RNA". It matches the Rfam family "Bacterial small subunit ribosomal RNA", at positions 30 to 507 of the family's 1533-position model. The record is from RNAcentral.
AUUGAACGCUGGCGGCAUGCUUUACACAUGCAAGUCGAACGGUAACAGGGUGCUUGCCCCGCUGACGAGUGGCGAACGGGUGAGUAAUGCAUCGGAAUGUACCGUGUAAUGGGGGAUAGCUCGGCGAAAGCCGGAUUAAUACCGCAUACGCCCUGAGGGGGAAAGUGGGGGACCGAAAGGCCUCACGUUAUACGAGCAGCCGAUGUCUGAUUAGCUAGUUGGUGAGGUAAAGGCUCACCAAGGCGUCGAUCAGUAGCGGGUCUGAGAGGAUGAUCCGCCACACUGGGACUGAGACACGGCCCAGACUCCUACGGGAGGCAGCAGUGGGGAAUUUUGGACAAUGGGCGCAAGCCUGAUCCAGCCAUGCCGCGUGUCUGAAGAAGGCCUUCGGGUUGUAAAGGACUUUUGUCCGGGAGCAAAUCCUAGUGGUUAAUAACCGCUGGGUCUGAGAGUACCGGAAGAAUAAGCACCGGCUAACUACGUG